This 447-nucleotide ribosomal RNA is filed under the name uncultured bacterium. RNAcentral describes it as "bacterial SSU rRNA". It matches the Rfam family "Bacterial small subunit ribosomal RNA", at positions 355 to 825 of the family's 1533-position model. The record is from RNAcentral.
UGGGGAAUAUUGGACAAUGGGCGAAAGCCUGAUCCAGCCAUGCCGCGUGAGUGACGAAGGCCUUAGGGUUGUAAAACUCUUUCGUCGGGGACGAUAAUGACGGUACCCGAAGAAGAAGCUCCGGCUAACUUCGUGCCAGCAGCCGCGGUAAUACGAAGGGAGCUAGCGUUGUUCGGAAUCACUGGGCGUACAGCGCACGUAGGCGGAUAGUUAAGUCAGGGGUGAAAUCCUGGGGCUCAACCCCAGAACUGCCUUUGAUACUGGCUGUCUCGAGGUCGAGAGAGGUUGGUGGAAUUCCUAGUGUAGAGGUGAAAUUCGUAGAUAUUAGGAAGAACACCAGUGGCGAAGGCGGCCAACUGGCUCGAUACUGACGCUGAGGUGCGAAAGCGUGGGGAGCAAACAGGAUUAGAUACCCACGUAGUCCCUGAGCGGGCUGGCAAGGCGCAU